Long non-coding RNA from Oncorhynchus nerka (sockeye salmon), 617 nucleotides. RefSeq lists it as uncharacterized. Lineage: Eukaryota; Metazoa; Chordata; Actinopteri; Salmoniformes; Salmonidae. The record is from RefSeq and is a predicted model, not a curated record. The transcript has 2 exons.
GGUGCAGAGUCGAGAGCAGAGGAUAAUGGGGGAAACCGGACUUUAUUGCGGCAUCCACAACACACACCCAAAACAACAGAACCCAAAACACAUCACCAACAAACUAACAAUGGUCCAAGCACAGUCGAAGAGGGCACGACAAAACCUAUUCCCCCUCAGGAAACGAAAAAUAUUUGGCAUGUGUCUUCAGAUUCUCAAAAGGUUCUACAGCUGCACGAUCGAGAGCAUUCUGACUGGUUACAUCACUGCCUGGUAUGGAAACUGCUCAGAGGGUAUUGCUUUCGGCCCGGUACAUCACUGGGACCAAGCUACCUGCCAUCCAGGACCUCUAUACCAGGCGGUACAUUGACUCUGUACCGAGGGCUGUGAAAGCCUGUCUGCAGAUGAAGAGGUCCCAAUAAAGAGCAGUGGUUCUCAGUCCUGGUCCUGGGGACUCAAAGGGGUGCAUACGUUUUGUUUCUGCUUUAGCACUACACAGCUGAUUCAAAUGAUCAACUCAUCAUCAAGCUUCAAGGGGUAUUUACAGUGGACUCAGUAUUCUGACCCCUUGACUUUUUCCACAUUUUGUAUGUUACAACCUUAUUCUAAAAUGGAUUAAAGUGUUUUUUUCCCCCUCA